This 198-nucleotide ribosomal RNA is filed under the name uncultured bacterium. RNAcentral's name for it is "partial 16S ribosomal RNA". It matches the Rfam family "Bacterial small subunit ribosomal RNA", at positions 1305 to 1500 of the family's 1533-position model. The record is from RNAcentral.
CUGCAACUCGACUGCGUGAAGGUGGAGUCGCUAGUAAUCGCGGAUCAGCAACGCCGCGGUGAAUGCGUUCCCGGGCCUUGUACACACCGCCCGUCAAGUCAUGAAAGUGGGCAGCACCCGAAGACGGUGGCCUAACCCUUGUGGGGGGAGCCGUCUAAGGUGAGGCUCGUGAUUGGGACUAAGUCGUAACAAGGUAUC